This 234-nucleotide ribosomal RNA is filed under the name uncultured bacterium. Its description in RNAcentral is "partial 16S ribosomal RNA". It matches the Rfam family "Bacterial small subunit ribosomal RNA", at positions 253 to 504 of the family's 1533-position model. The record is from RNAcentral.
UGGGGUAACGGCCUACCAAGUCGACGAUCCAUAGCCGGACUGAGAGGUUGAACGGCCACAUUGGGACUGAGACACGGCCCAAACUCCUACGGGAGGCAGCAGUGGGGAAUAUUGCACAAUGGGGGAAACCCUGAUGCAGCAACGCCGCGUGAGUGAAGAAGUAUUUCGGUAUGUAAAGCUCUAUCAGCAGGGAAGAAAAUGACGGUACCUGACUAAGAAGCCCCGGCUAACUAC